Polypterus senegalus (gray bichir) is the source of this 1396-nucleotide long non-coding RNA. RefSeq lists it as uncharacterized. The record is from RefSeq and is a predicted model, not a curated record. NCBI's taxonomy places the organism in Eukaryota, Metazoa, Chordata, Cladistia, Polypteriformes, Polypteridae. The transcript has 2 exons.
AGGCAGCUGAAUUAAAAGCAUCAGUCCUAGAGCGCCGCACCUGUCGCGUCGAAAAAAAUCAGAACAGCUGUGGAUAAAGAGAUCCUGGAAAAAUGACCAAAGUGACCCUUAUAUGCCUGGGAUUACUUGUCCUGGCCGCCUAUAUUCCAGUACAGGUGGAUUGUCAGAACACCACCACCAGCAACAGCACCAUGAGCACCCCCACCAGCGCUAACACCGUAUCUACGGCUUCAACAACAAACAGCACGAUGUCAAAUACCACCUUGGUGUCUGCAUCAAGCAACAGUACAUCAUUAAACAGCACAAUUUCAUCCACCACAACCAAGGGGGCCGGCACCUGCUUGAAAUCACAGGCCAGUUUAUUGUUGGUCCCUUUCCUGCUUUGUGCCACCAUUCUACUACAUCAUGGCUGUUAAAGACUCAAAAAGAAAAAUCACAGACAAGGAAAACUGUCAAGCCCAGCAGUGAAGAAGGAGGCAGAUGAGAGCAAAGUUUUUUAAAUGCAUCUUUUAAUUGUUUUAAUAUUCAGUUAAACAACAUCUGAAAAUAAGUGAUUUGGAAAACAAACAACUCUUUGUGAAUGCCCCUUCGGAUAAGUGGUUUGUGCAAUGCUCCUCUUUUUCAAGAAAAAAAAUGUCAACUACUACAAUAAUUCAAAUAGUAAAGAUACCAUACCAAGGAAAAAAUGACUGGGCCAUAAGGAAUAAAGUGCGCACUUUUCAUGUGUUCUUUUAAAAUGAACCGAUGUAGUCUUCAGUCUGCUUAAAGAUUUUUGGUGAUUUUUUUAUAUUCUGUAUCUAAGCUUCUGAGUAAAGUGGCCAUUAAUACUGUUGAUGAUUCCAAUAUUUUUAAGGGAAAAAAAAAUAACCAGAAAUGAAAAUAAACACGUUAAAUUACAAAAAAGCAAACCAGUCACCUUUUAAGCCUAAUAACAAGCAAAAAUGUACCAAGCAAUCAACUAUAUCUGAAAUAUUUAAAAAAUAAUGUUUCUAUCUGCAAAGCACAUUUAUUUAAACUUGGAUUUGAAUUUUAAGCAUAAACCCUAGCUAUUUAUAUCAAUGUUAGCAAUGCAGAUUCAAAGUUGGCAUGAAGGUUUUGAUACCAGUUUAAAAAAUAGACAAACUUAAAAUGGAAUGUCUCUUUUACAUGACUUUUUAAAAAUAUUUUCUUUAUUGUACAAAUAUUUAAUGUACUCCCAGUUUCCUACAGUAUCUCAGCUGGUCAAAUUGAAACUGCUGUGAUUUAACACUUUUUCCAUAGAUUUAUAUUUUUUGUAUAAAAUUGGAUUGUUUAUUUAUAUAACUGUGUCUCUGUCAGUUUAGCUUGAAUGAUGGCAGCAAUCAGGGAGUAAUGUUUUACCUAUGUAUUUUAAAAAAUAAUAAACUCUUGGAAAUAA